CCUGAGUACGACGGAGCACGUGAAAUUCCGUCGGAAUCUGGGAGGACCAUCUCCUAAGGCUAAAUACUCUCUAGUGACCGAUAGUGAACCAGUACCGUGAGGGAAAGGUGAAAAGUACCCCGGAAGGGGAGUGAAAGAGAACUUGAAACCGUGUGCUUACAAGUAGUCAGAGCCCGUUAAUGGGUGAUGGCGUGCCUUUUGUAGAAUGAACCGGCGAGUUACGAUCUGAUGCAAGGUUAAGCAGAAAAUGUGGAGCCGUAGCGAAAGCGAGUCUGAAUAGGGCGAAUGAGUAUUUGGUCGUAGACCCGAAACCAGGUGAUCUACCCUUGGUCAGGUUGAAGUUCAGGUAACACUGAAUGGAGGACCGAACCGACUUACGUUGAAAAGUGAGCGGAUGAACUGAGGGUAGCGGAGAAAUUCCAAUCGAACUUGGAGAUAGCUGGUUCUCUCCGAAAUAGCUUUAGGGCUAGCCUCAAGUGAUGAUUAUUGGAGGUAGAG
Molecule: ribosomal RNA, 498 nt
Filed under: Staphylococcus pseudintermedius
Lineage: Bacteria; Bacillati; Bacillota; Bacilli; Caryophanales; Staphylococcaceae
Description: partial 23S ribosomal RNA
Rfam family: Bacterial large subunit ribosomal RNA
Source: RNAcentral